AGUGAACGCUGGCGGUAGGCCUAACACAUGCAAGUCGAACGGCAGCACAGUAAGAGCUUGCUCUUACGGGUGGCGAGUGGCGGACGGGUGAGGAAUACAUCGGCAUCUACUUUUUCGUGGGGGAUAACGUAGGGAAACUUACGCUUAUACCCCAUUAGACCUAAGGGUGAAAGCAGUGGAUCUUCGGACCUUAACCCUUUGAAUGAGCCGAUGGCGGAUUAGCUAGUUGGCGGGGUUAAGGCCCCCCAAGGCGAGUAUCCGUAACUGGUCUGAGAGGAUGAACAGGCAGACGGGAACUGAGACACGGUCCAGACACCGACGGGAGGCAACAGUGGGGAAUAUUGGAGAAUGGGGGCAAGCGUGAUCCAGCCAAACCGCGUGGAGGAAGAAGGACUACGGGUUGGAAAGCCCUUUAGUUGGGAAAGAAAAGCAGCAGGGUAAUAGCCCGCUGUUAUGACGGUACCCAAAGAAUAAGCACCGGCUAACUUCGUG
This 492-nucleotide ribosomal RNA is filed under the name uncultured bacterium. RNAcentral's name for it is "partial 16S ribosomal RNA". It matches the Rfam family "Bacterial small subunit ribosomal RNA", at positions 29 to 507 of the family's 1533-position model. The record is from RNAcentral.